Long non-coding RNA from Paramormyrops kingsleyae, 985 nucleotides. RefSeq lists it as uncharacterized. The record is from RefSeq and is a predicted model, not a curated record. NCBI's taxonomy places the organism in Eukaryota, Metazoa, Chordata, Actinopteri, Osteoglossiformes, Mormyridae.
GCCAACGUCCUCCAGGAAAGGUCAUGUGAGCCAACAACACUGAUGUUCAGCUCUAUCCGACGACAUCGCGCCUGGAUUGCGUGACGGCCCAAAGGCACAGGGCCAGAAAACUGUCUGUGUUUGGAUCGCUGUGGGCCGGGUUACAUCCAAACGUCGCGUGAGAUGGCGAUAUUUCUGCGAAACCUUCUCCAGGUGUCUUUCGAGGUGCCUGCUCAGAAACGUCACCAUCCGCAUUCACAGCCUCACAGGUUGAAAUUCACAAUGAAACGAACCACCAAAGAGAACCUCCUCCAUAAACACUCGGCGGGUUCUGCAAAUGACAGCAGCAGUCUAUUCAGGGCCUGGACACCAUUCCAGAUGGCCAGCAGACUUCCUGUUUUCAGCCACUGGAACUGAGAGAACAGUGGAUUCAUCUGCAGGCCUUUCAAAGAGCCACUUCAAUCUAUUACAGAGUGUAAGUGCCGUGGCGGGAGCAAAGCAUCAGAUCCAAAGCACUUUCUGUCCCCUUGCCGCUAAAUCAUCUGUUCCCUGAUGCCACAACCAUCAAGAGGAGGGGGAGGCUAAAUGCCCCCAGCCGCACUCACAGAAGAAGCCCCCCCUCCACUGAUGAAUUGGGCCCAUUAACAACCCAUACGCCAGUGGGAGUGAAUGAAAGUCAGGCACACAAAGACUCGGCCAUAGCGAAGAAAAUGGCGGAAGAUUUAAACAAGAAAAGAGAGGGUCGAUUAAAAAAAUUCCAUCAAAAUAAAAGGACACCCAAGCACUGUAUGGCUAAAAAGAAACAAGACUUCCCAUCCUUCUUUUGCUCAAAUAGGAACAUUUCACAUGAAGCAAAACAGGAUGUCUGCACACAAAUCCAACAGCAACAUUAGCACCACAUCCUCUUCAGGAUCCAUGCAAAUGAAUUAGGAGACGUUUCAAAUCCUCCACAAGGUACAGAAAGUGUCAUUUCUCCCCGUUACUUUGACUACAGGCUUAAUUAAAU